RNAcentral lists this long non-coding RNA (206 nucleotides) under Elaeis guineensis (African oil palm). RNAcentral describes it as "long non-coding RNA (EGUI_LNC044826)". The record is from RNAcentral. Lineage: Eukaryota; Viridiplantae; Streptophyta; Magnoliopsida; Arecales; Arecaceae.
CGUGUGGGUUGCUUUAUUUCAGAUACAAAGCAAGUAUAUGAUCAUAUAUUUAUGUUUGUGGUGCUUGCUUAUUUAUUCUGUGGCCUUUUUUAUAUAUCAUUGUUUCUUUAUAAGAUAUUUAUUACUGCUAUAAUAUUUAAUAAUCUGAAUUUUAAUUUAUACUCUUUUCUUCGUAUGUACUUUAUAUUUUGUUGGUUAAAAGGUGC